Molecule: long non-coding RNA, 635 nt
Organism: Gallus gallus (chicken)
Lineage: Eukaryota; Metazoa; Chordata; Aves; Galliformes; Phasianidae
Source: Ensembl
UACCACACAGUGCUUGAUGUCAUGGAAGUAGUUACUGGAUACACAUCUAUUUCAUUUGAUGUGUUUUUGGUUUUUUUUUUUAUUCAGUCAGCUGGGGGAUCAAUGAAGGAAGCUGAGGAUAUUGGUGAGAAGCUGGUCACUGCAAUCUCAGUAUAAUGGCAAAGGAAUCUACAGAGGAGCAAAAGAUUUUCAUUGUCCUUGUACAGUAUGGUGUUAGGGCAGAGUGUAGGAGAGCCUUUCUUGGAUUAUGGUAUCCAGCUGUAGGCACUGCACUUCAUGGAAAAUGUGGAGCAACUGGAGAUAACCCAGCAAUGAGAGGGAUGACAGGAUGGAAGACCAGGCUUGUUUCAAGGAGUACUUCAGCACUCCCAAAUUCCUGACUGAAAACCUGCAAAAUACAUUCCUGUCGCAUGAAGUGACAACGUGUGGGAUUACUGUAUACAACUUACUGAUAAUUCUUCCUUGUGUGCACAAGUGCACUGCAGUGAUACUGCAAUUGGAGCUACCGAUCUUUUAUCCAAUUAUUACAGAAUUAUGGUGGCAGCAAUCUUAAACCUUUAUCUGAACUUUUGCCAGAGGUGAUCUCUUCAUUUAAAAUGAGUUCUCUGCUUAUUUCUGUUUGUUGUCAAACAACA